AUACUCGGCGAUCGAGUAGAACAAGUUCGGUAGACCUCGCUCACGUCCGGAUGUGACGCACCGGUCACGCUCACAAGGGUUGACGCCAACUUGGCCGGAUAUUACGCACCGGAGAAGAAAGGGUCGUGAGGAACUGGAUUGAAUAAGGCACUCGGCUUUUUCAUUCAAUCAAUUCUCUGCCUUACAAUGAGGGUCUAAUGCCCUUUAUAUAGACAAAAACUAAUAAGGAAAUAUUCACAAGAAUGAUCCUAAACCUUUGGAUCUCUGUUUGACGGUUAGGAUGGCAAUCCGUGUGCUUGCAUUUGAUUGGACGAUCCUUGGAUGCACACGAGCCUUCGGAUUCGAUGGAUGGCUUGGAUCGUAGGCUAAGGGCAAUCCGUGUGCUUGUUUUUGAUUGGAUGUCCGGUGGUUUACACGGAUUUGCUCGGGCGAAUUUGGAGAAGAUCUUGGAUUGCCGUCGGGAAUCGGGGGAUCGCGCCGGAUAUCAAGGGAUUGCUCGGUAUGCUCCAUGGUGUGCUCCCGUUGCACAUCAAGGCCCACAGCGAUACUGACGUGCAAAUCGUUCGUCUGACUUGGGUAUAGGGGCGAAAGACUAAUCGAACCGUCUAGUAGCUGCUUCCCUCCGAAGUUUCCCUUAGGAUAGCUGGAGCCCAUGGGCAAGUUCUCUCGGGUAAAGCCAAUGAUUAGAGGCAUCAGGGGCACAACGCCCUCGACCUAUUCUCAAACUUUAAAUAGGUAGGACGGAGCAGCUACUUUGUUGAGCCGCUCUAAGUGGGCUAUUUUUUGUAAGCAGAACUAGCGAUGCGGGAUGAACCGAAAGCCGGGUUACGGUGCCCAACUGCACAAUAACCUAGAACCCACAAAGGGUGUUGGUCGAUUAAGACAGCAGAACGUUGGUCAUGGAAGUCGAAAUCCGCUAAGGAGUGUGUAACAACUCCCCUGCCGAAUCAGCUAGCCCCAAAAAUGGAUGGCGCUGAAGUGCGCAACCUAUAUCCGGCCGUCGGGGCAAGUAUGAGGCCAUGAUGAGUAGGAGGGCGCGGCAGUUGCCGCAAAACCUGGGCGCGAGCCCGGGCGGAGCGGCCGUUGGUGCAAAUCUUGGUGGUAGUAGCAAAUAUUCAAAUGAGAACUUUGAAGACCGAAGAGGGGAAAUGUUCCAUGUAAACAGCACUUGCACAUGGGUUAGUCGAUCCUAAGAGACAGGGCAAUCCUGUCUGAUAGCGCCCAGCACAGGAGCAUCGAAAGGGAAUCAGGUUAAAAUUCCUAAACUGGGACGUGGCGGUUGACGGCAAUGUUAGGGAGUCCGGAGACAUCGUCGGGGACCUUGGGAAGAGUUAUCUUUUCUGUUUAGCAGCUUGCCCACCGUGGAAACGACUCAGCCGGAGGUAGGGUCCUGCGGCUAGAAGAGCACCACACGUCGCGCGGUGUUUGUACGUCCUCGACGGCCCUUGAAAAUUCAGAGGACCGAGUGCCUCCCACACCCGGUCAUGGAACAAUGUAGGCAAGGGAAGUCAGCAAAAUGGAUCCGUAACCUCGGGAAAAGGAUUGGCUCUGAGGGCUGGGCAUGGCGGUCCCCGUCUCAAAUCCGUCGGUUGUCGAUGGACUGCUCGAGCUGCUCUCUUGGCGAGAGCUGGUCGUCGCGUGCCGGCCGGGGGAUGGACUGAGAACGGCUCCUUUGGGGACCUUCCCCAGGCAUCAAAAAAUUGACUCAGAACUGGAGUGAAGAAAUUCUGCCCAGUGCAAUGAAUCCGACUGUUUAAUUAAAACAAAGCAUUGCGAUGGUCCUUGCGGAUGCUGACGCAAUGUGAUUUCUGCCCAGUGCAAUGAAUGUCAAAGUGAAGAAAUUCAACAAAGCGCGGGUAAACGGCAGGAGUAACUAUGACUCUAUUAAGGUAGCCAAAUGCCUCGUCAUCUAAUUAGUGACGCACAUGAAUGGAUUAACGAGAUUCCCACUAACCUUGUCUACUAUCCAGCGAAACAACAGCCAAGGGAACGGGCUUGGCAGAAUCAACGGGGAAAGAAGACCUUGUUGAGCUUGACUGUAGUCCGACUCUGUGAAAUGACUUGAGAGGUGUAGGAUAAGUGGGAGCCAGAAACGGCAAAAGUGAAAUAACACUACUUUUAACGGAAGCGGGGCAACGCCCCUCUUUUUGGACCCAAGGCCCACCUUAACUGGUCGAUCCGCGCGGAAGACAUUGUUAGGUCAGGAGUUUGGCUGGGGCAGCACAUCUGUUAAAAGAUAACACAGGUGUCCUAAGAUGAGCUCAACGAGAACAUAAAUCUCGUGUGGAACAAAAGGGUAAAAGCUCGUUUGAUUCUGAUUUCCAGUACGAAUACAAACAGUGAAAGCAUGGCCUAUUAAUCUUUUAGAGUUUCAGAAUUUGAAGCUAGAGGUGUCAGAAAAGUUACCACAGGGAUAACUGGCUUGUGGCAGCCAAGCGUUCAUAGCGACGUUGUUUUUUGAUCCUUCGAUGUCGGCUCUUCCUAUCAUUGUGAAGCAGAAUUCACCAAGUGUUGGAUUGUUCACCCACCAAUAGGGAACAUGAGCUGGGUUUAGACAGUCGUGAGACGGGUUAGUUUUACUCUACUGAUGACAGCGUCGCAAUAGUAAUUCAACCUAGUAUGAGAGGAACCAUUGAUUCGCAUAAUUGGUCAUCGCGCUUGGUUAAAAAGCCAGUGGCACAAAGCUACCGUGCGUUGGAUUAUGACUGAACGCCCCUAAGUCAGAAUCUGGGCUAGAAGCGACGCACGCACCCGCCUCCCGAUCGCCGAUUAGUAGUAGGGGCCCUCGGCCCCCUAGGGCACGCGUCGUUGGACAAGCCCUCGUAACCGAGCCAUCGCGCGGGCCACCUUGAAGUGUUAUUUCAACCGAGC
This 2871-nucleotide ribosomal RNA is filed under the name Begonia fuchsioides. Its description in RNAcentral is "eukaryotic LSU rRNA". It matches the Rfam family "Eukaryotic large subunit ribosomal RNA", at positions 438 to 3401 of the family's 3401-position model. The record is from RNAcentral. Lineage: Eukaryota; Viridiplantae; Streptophyta; Magnoliopsida; Cucurbitales; Begoniaceae.